Molecule: long non-coding RNA, 2889 nt
Organism: Oncorhynchus tshawytscha (Chinook salmon)
Lineage: Eukaryota; Metazoa; Chordata; Actinopteri; Salmoniformes; Salmonidae
Source: Ensembl
GUCUAACACAGUAAAUUACAGACAUACAGACAGUAUAUCUACCUAGCUGUGUUGAAUCUGGAUGUGUGUGGAAAUGUGUGUGUAUGUUUGUGUGUGUGUGUGUGUGUGUGUGAGAGAUUAUGCGAGUGUGUGUUCUUGUCCAUGCGUUUACCUCUAGACAUUGUGUGUGUGUGUGUGUGUGUGUGUGUGUUUACAUUGUGUGUGUCUUAUACUAACUCCCUUAUUCAAGGAUCCACAAUUUGCUGAAUGGUCUCUGCUCAGGAAUAAAACUUGUGUGUCCAAAAUGGUACUCUCCUAUUGGCCCUGGUCUAAAGUAGUGCACUAUAUAGGGAAUAGGGCUAUGGUCUAAAGUAGUGCACUAUAUAGGGAAUAGGGUGCCAUAGGGCUCUGGUCUAAAGUAUAGUGCUCUAUAGGGAAUAGGGCUCUGGUCUAAAGUAGUGCACUAUAUAGGGAAUAGGGUGCCAUUGGAGAAUCAGCCAAGGACUCAGCAGACAUACAUCUGCUCCAGUAUACACAGGCCUCACAUGGGGCCCAAUCAUAACCUGCCAUCUGCACAUGCUCAGUCUCUCCAGGCCAGACAGAACACGGCAGAUGUCUGCCAGGAGAUGGGGAAAUUUCCCAUAACAACAAACCAUUCUUCUGGUGCGUUGCUUUUCUGCUUAUUAGGGACGAAUCAACCAAUCAAAUCAUGAACAACAAAUCAAAUUUUACGUCACGGAAAUGUAACGAGUUAGCAUUGGUCUGGUCAGUUGAUAUUUGAUCCAGGUCUGGUCAGUUGAUAUUUGAUCCAGGUCUGGUCAGUAGAUAUUUGAUCCAGGUCUGGUCAGUAGUCAGUUGAUAUUUGAUCCAGGUCUGGUCAGUAGAUAUUUGAUCCAGGUCUGGUCAGUUGAUAUUUGAUCCAGGUCUGGUCAGUUGAUAUUUGAUCCAGGUCUGGUCAGUAGUCAGUUGAUAUUUGAUCCAGGUCUGGUCAGUAGUCAGUUGAUAUUUGAUCCAGGUCUGGUCAGUAGUCAGUUGAUAUUUGAUCCAGGUCUGGUCAGUAGUCAGUUGAUAUUUGAUCCAGGUCUGGUCAGUAGUCAGUUGAUAUUUAAUCCAGGUCUGGUCAGUAGUCAGUUGAUAUUUAAUCCAGGUCUGGUCAGUGGUCGGUCAGUAAUGUAACAGUGAAGACAUAUCUAACAGUAAAAGUCUUGGACAGGACAGGAGGAGUGUGUUGUUUGGAAAAAGGACUUCCCAGAACGUCUGUGAUUGUUUUUGUCUCGGAGAACAGAGUGGAGAGACGGAGAGAGUGUACACAUGUGUUUGGUCAUUUCUCCUCUUCGUUUUGUUCUACUUCCUGUAUCACACGGGAACAGCCAAUCAGUUCAUGCGUUGCAGUAACGAUGAUGACUAGUGAAUAGUCUAGAAUCUUCCUCUGUGUUUGGGCUGGUGGUGAUGACGACGCCCAGGAGAGAUGCAGCCCAACCGGAAUACAUGUUAGUGUGAGACUGAGCGUUGUCACGACAACAACCUCCACUGUGUUCCUGUGGAUUUACACAUCACGGUAUUAAUGCUUAGACUGGACGCAUGGUUUCAUGGGGAAUCCAUUACCUACGAAGCUAUGACAAAGUGUGUGUCUCACACUCACACGCACACACACACACACACACACACACACACACACACUUUGACACCACUACCCUUUUGACACACAUCCCUCAGCAAAUUCAGGUCCUUUAGUUUUAGUGUUUUGUGAGUUUUAUUGCUGAAAAAAAUGCAACUGUUAUUGUCGUGUUAUUUCCACAUCACUGAUAUACACCCAGCCCAAAGAAUGUAACGGAGAAAGAGACUUAAUGUAUGUAUCUUGUUUGACUGUGUCCCAAAUGACACCCUAUUUCCUAUAUAGUGCGCUACGUUUUAUCCAGAGCUGGUCUAAAGUAGUGCACUAUGUGUAUGAAACAGGGUGGGACGUAGCCAUUCUGCUGUAGAAGAGAAACAGGCUUGUGUAAUGAAGUGGUUCAAUCAUGUUCCAUUCAAUGGUAUGAGAAUCGAGUUCUGAAAUUCUAUGUUCUGAUUCUAUGAUUCCGUUGUUCCGAUGUUACUGUAACAAGCAGCUCAGAAACCUUACUUACCAGGUAACUCCACUUACCAGGUAACUCCAACUAGUUUAAUGUACACUUACCAGGUAACUCCACUUACCAGGUAACUCCACUUACCAGGUAACCCCAACUAGUUUAAUGUACACUUACCAGGUAACUCCAACUAGUUUAAUGUACACUUACCAGGUAACCCCAACUAGUUUUAAUGUACACUUACCAGGUAACCCCAACUAGUUUAAUGUACACUUACCAGGUAACUCCAACUAGUUUACUCUACACUUACCAGGUAACCCCAACUAGUUUUAAUGUACACUUACCAGGUAAUCCCAACUAGUUUAAUGUACACUUACCAGGUAAUCCCAACUAGUAUACUGUACACUUACCAGGUAACCCCAACUAGUUUUAAUGUACACUUACCAGGUAAUCCCAACUAGUAUACUGUACACUUACCAGGUAACUCCAACUAGUUUUAAUGGGGCUCUGCUGGCAUUUCCUCUUCUCUGUCACCAGGUGUCUCCUCCCAACAUAGUGUUUCCUGUAUUCUAAACCCUUCUCCUCCUGCUCUCCCAAAGCAACAUGGAAACAGUAUUCUAAACCCUUCUCCUCCUGCUCUCCCUCGGUCAAUAUGAAAAUAAAACCCAAUUUACAAAUGUAUUGUUGGUUGUGUGUUUUUGUCGCUUACUUUACAGGAGCAGUGACGGCCUCCACUGGAACACACACACACACACACACACACACACACACACACACACACACACACACACACACACACACACACAGGAACACACACACACACACACACAGGAACACACACACA